AGUCGAGGGGCAGCAUGGUCUUAGCUUGCUAAGGCCGAUGGCGACCGGCGCACGGGUGAGUAACACGUAUCCAACCUGCCGUCUACUCUUGGACAGCCUUCUGAAAGGAAGAUUAAUACAAGAUGGCAUCAUGAGUCCGCAUGUUCACAUGAUUAAAGGUAUUCCGGUAGACGAUGGGGAUGCGUUCCAUUAGAUAGUAGGCGGGGUAACGGCCCACCUAGUCUUCGAUGGAUAGGGGUUCUGAGAGGAAGGUCCCCCACAUUGGAACUGAGACACGGUCCAAACCCCUACGGGAGGCAGCAGUGAGGAAUAUUGGUCAAUGGGCGAGAGCCUGAACCAGCCAAGUAGCGUGAAGGAUGACUGCCCUAUGGGUUGUAAACUUCUUUUAUAAAGGAAUAAAGUCGGGUAUGGAUACCCGUUUGCAUGUACUUUAUGAAUAAGGAUCGGCUAACUCCGUGCCAGCAGCCGCGGUAAUACGGAGGAUCCGAGCGUUAUCCGGAUUUAUUGGGUUUAAAGGGAGCGUAGAUGGAUGUUUAAGUCAGUUGUGAAAGUUUGCGGCUCAACCGUAAAAUUGCAGUUGAUACUGGAUAUCUUGAGUGCAGUUGAGGCAGGCGGAAUUCGUGGUGUAGCGGUGAAAUGCUUAGAUAUCACGAAGAACUCCGAUUGCGAAGGCAGCCUGCUAAGCUGCAACUGACAUUGAGGCUCGAAAGUGUGGGUAUCAAACAGGAUUAGAUACCCUGGUAGU
Molecule: ribosomal RNA, 745 nt
Filed under: uncultured bacterium
Lineage: Bacteria
Description: bacterial SSU rRNA
Rfam family: Bacterial small subunit ribosomal RNA
Source: RNAcentral